UUUGGAUUCUACAUAUUCAGAGAAUAGCCUUCCAGUAGAUUUUAAGCACCUGGAUGAGUGUUCCUCUCUUCAAGCCUUCCGAAACAUCCUCCUUGGACAUGUAAAGAAGCACUGGGCCACACCUAUUUGAGGAGCAGGUGUCUCAGCCUGCCCAAGGCGAGGUAAAAGAGGAAAAAGCUAACACCCCCUUGAAGAGCUCCUCUGCAAUGGGUUCCAGAGUGAGGAUGGUGGAGUGCAUGAAGACAGAAUGCCUUAAAGGAGACUGGUUUCUUUUUAUCCAGUAGGAAAUCAUUCUCUUUUACUUUCACAAGACCGAAACAUAUAAACCAUAUUCUCUGAGAUGAAUAAGGAAAAUUACUACAAAAUAAACUUAUACAUCUAUGUGGAA
This 388-nucleotide non-coding RNA is filed under the name Pan troglodytes (chimpanzee). Lineage: Eukaryota; Metazoa; Chordata; Mammalia; Primates; Hominidae. The record is from RNAcentral.